GGGGCCGUUUUGGUUUUGACAGCAUAGAUCUUUGCAGGUGUAAGCAUGUAGUGCGUUGCGGUAUUAGCACUUUAAUCUGAAACCGAAAACUUUAAAUGGCAAUACUCAGUAUGCCAUGGCUGCUUAAGCGAUAGCUUAGCAACCAUUAGGGCCGCCGAGCAGGUUUUAUUACUGCCAAGUUCCGCCGCCGACAUCAAAAAAAAGUGAUAUGCUAUCCCGCAACGAAGUGAGCGGAAUUUAAGAUCAUUCUUCUAAGGAAAAUAUUGGUUUGUUGUACUCCGGUAUUUUUUCGAAAAUUAAUGUACAAAUAAACAUGUAGAAAGCUUGCGGCGAAUAUGUUUAGACACCGGUUCGAGUCCGGUCGGCUCCACAA
Molecule: transfer-messenger RNA, 373 nt
Filed under: Ferruginibacter sp.
Lineage: Bacteria; Pseudomonadati; Bacteroidota; Chitinophagia; Chitinophagales; Chitinophagaceae
Rfam family: transfer-messenger RNA
About the family: Bacterial tmRNA, also known as 10Sa RNA or SsrA, is named for its dual tRNA and mRNA-like properties. Its role is to liberate the mRNA from a stalled ribosome.
Source: RNAcentral